Molecule: long non-coding RNA, 868 nt
Organism: Erigeron canadensis
Lineage: Eukaryota; Viridiplantae; Streptophyta; Magnoliopsida; Asterales; Asteraceae
Exons: 3
Source: RefSeq, a predicted model, not a curated record
CUUUUUCUGUUCGAAUCUUUUUCUUUGAUAAAAGAGGAUCCAAAACAAAGAUAUUUUAGAAGCUUUACACGUGGCAGCCCCUCCCUUUUGCUCCCCCAAAACUCUUUGACCAGGAAUUCCUAACAAACUUUUACAGAUAGGAAUAGGAAUGAGAAUACGAUCAAAAUAAAUCAGAUCAAUUACAAAAUUCAAAGGAUGAAUAAUCUUAAAAGACUUCAUUUCUAAUUCUUUUCUAUCGACCAUAGAAAACUCACUUGGGUUAUUACGGGUACGUAUAUGCUUGGCAUGUUUUGGCAGGCUGCUGAGGCUCUGUCACCCCAAGUGUGGCUAAGAUGGAACAUUAUGACCCGACUAUGGCAUACCCAGUUCAGUCGCCAGGUGUAAAAGGAAACCAGGCAGACAAAGUCAUGAACAACAUUUCGGUCCAUUGUCUGGGUCUGGUGCACCCCGGAAAGGUUUUCGGUUUCCACAAUGAGCUUCAUGUCUACCUUGCUUCAUGUGGAGUUGAUGAAGUCAAAGUUGAUAUUCAAAAGAUAAUUGAAACUCUCUAGGUCAUUCAAGUUUCAAAAAAGCAAGCAACAGUAGGAAAGGAGAAGGAAACUCAAAUGUCCUUAUCUUGAAGCAACAUACUUUAUAAGAUUUGAAAAUCGACAUGGCAAUAUUGGGAAAGGAUGCUGCGUUUUGCUAUCGAAGUUAACAUGGGUCGUUAAAUUUUUAACUAAAAAUUUUGAGUUAGUAACAUACUGCAAUGAUUUGAAUGAGAGUGACAAUAUAUUUGGAUCGAUUAGCUUAAGUAAUGAAGAUGUUCUACAUAUACGUUGUAAUAUCAAGUACAGAAAAUAUUAUUUAUACUUUCUUAAUCAUGCCC